UACGUAGGGGGCAAGCGUUGUCCGGAAUCAUUGGGCGUAAAGAGCGUGUAGGCGGCCAGAUAAGUCCGCUGUGAAAUCUCGAGGCUCAACUUCGAGCUGUCGGUGGAAACUGUCUGGCUAGAGUCCGGAAGAGGAGAAUGGAAUUCCUGGUGUAGCGGUGAAAUGCGCAGAUAUCAGGAAGAACACCCGUGGCGAAGGCGGUUCUCUGGGACGGUACUGACGCUAAGGCGCGAAAGCGUGGGGAGCGAACAGG
This 253-nucleotide ribosomal RNA is filed under the name uncultured bacterium. RNAcentral describes it as "partial 16S ribosomal RNA". It matches the Rfam family "Bacterial small subunit ribosomal RNA", at positions 524 to 776 of the family's 1533-position model. The record is from RNAcentral.